GUUCCAGGCGGUAAGGAAGAAGUUCGUGACUGAGUUGAAAGAGCUGCGACAGAAGGAGCAGAGCCCGCACGUGGUCCAGAGCAUCAUCAGCUUGAUCAUGGGGAUGAAGUUCUUCCGAGUGAUGAUGUACCCUGUGGAAGACUUCGAAGCCUCGUUUCAGUUCAUGCAGGAAUGCGCUCAGUAUUUCUUAGAAGUGAAAGACAAGGAUAUAAAACAUGCACUUGCUGGUUUAUUUGUGGAGAUCCUUAUCCCCGUAGCCCUAGGCUGUUAAAAAUGAAGUCAAUGUCCCCUGUUUGAAAAAUUUUGUGGAGAUGCUGUAUCAGACUACAUUUGAACUAAGUUCCAGAAAGAAGCAUUCACUGGCUUUGUACCCACUAAUUACCUGUCUUUUAUG
Molecule: long non-coding RNA, 394 nt
Filed under: Rattus norvegicus (Norway rat)
Lineage: Eukaryota; Metazoa; Chordata; Mammalia; Rodentia; Muridae
Description: long non-coding RNA NONRATT009326
Source: RNAcentral